This 478-nucleotide ribosomal RNA is filed under the name uncultured bacterium. Its description in RNAcentral is "partial 16S ribosomal RNA". It matches the Rfam family "Bacterial small subunit ribosomal RNA", at positions 28 to 523 of the family's 1533-position model. The record is from RNAcentral.
GACGAACGCUGGCGGCGUGCUUAACACAUGCAAGUCGAACGGUAAGGCCCUUCGGGGUACACGAGUGGCGAACGGGUGAGUAACACGCGGGUGAUCUGCCCUGCACUUCGGGAUAAGCCUGGGAAACUGGGUCUAAUACCGGAUAGGACCACUGCCUGCAUGGGUGGUGGUGGAAAGCUUUUGCGGUGUGGGAUGGGCCCGCGGCCUAUCAGCUUGUCGGUGGGGUGAUGGCCUACCAAGGCGACGACGGGUAGCCGGCCUGGGAGGGUGACCGGCCACACUGGGACUGAGAUACGGCCCAGACUCCUGCGGGAGGCAGCAGUGGGGAAUAUUGCACAAUGGGCGCAAGCCUGAUGCAGCGACGCCGCGUGAGGGAUGACGGCCUUCGGGUUGUAAACCUCUUUCAGCACCGACGAAGCGCAAGUGACGGUAGGUGCAGAAGAAGGACCGGCCAACUACGUGCCAGCAGCCGCCGUAA